AUGCAGAAACCGCCCUAUUUUAGUGCUGCUGUUGGAGAUGCUCUAAGACAACCAGGUGCACAACCUCAAGCCCAACGGCAUUCUGCACAUCGUGUGCUUCAUUAUGCUAUGCGAGUGUUUCUUGGGGUCUCUGCCCCAUUUCGGCCUUUGGAUGAAGCUCUUUAUGGUGAAGGUGCACAAGAGCCGCAACCACCUGUCCAUCAGAGGUGGAGCUGGCAUCCAGCUGAAGCCCAAGGACAAGUACUCAAGUUGGCGCAGCCAGACACUGUCAAGAAGUGGCAGCCAAAUUGGUUCUAUUGCACCGACAUCCGGACGUACACCGGGCAUCAAGGACUCCUUCCAUACACCACCGGAGCGCCGAACCGGUUGAUGUUCUGGGGAGCGAAGCUGACCGCCACUAGGUUGCAUGACAUCCGGCUUCUCCACAAUGAGGUGUUGUGGCUCAUUGGGCGAGGCUCGCCCUGCUAG
Molecule: ribosomal RNA, 468 nt
Filed under: Triticum aestivum (bread wheat)
Lineage: Eukaryota; Viridiplantae; Streptophyta; Magnoliopsida; Poales; Poaceae
Description: partial small subunit ribosomal RNA
Source: RNAcentral